Molecule: ribosomal RNA, 469 nt
Filed under: uncultured bacterium
Lineage: Bacteria
Description: partial 16S ribosomal RNA
Rfam family: Bacterial small subunit ribosomal RNA
Source: RNAcentral
GACGAACGCUGGCGGCGUGCUUAACACAUGCAAGUCGAACGGAAAGGCGCGUGCUUGCAGGGGUGCUCGAGUGGCGAACGGGUGAGUAACACGUGAGUAACCUGCCCAUCACUUUGGGAUAAGCUCUGGAAACUGGGUCUAAUACCGGAUAGGACCACCUGUUGCAUGGGGGGGGGGGGGAAGGUUUGGUCGGUGGGGGUUGGACUCGCGGCCUAUCAGCUUGUUGGCGGGGUAGUGGCCAACCAAGGCGUGGACGGGUAGCCGGCCUGAGAGGGUGACCGGCCACAUUGGGACUGAGAUACGGCCCAGACUCCUACGGGAGGCAGCAGUGGGGAAUAUUGCACAAUGGGCGGAAGCCUGAUGCAGCGACGCCGCGUGCGGGAUGACGGCCUUCGGGUUGUAAACCGCUUUCGGCUGGGACGAAGCGAAAGUGACGGUACUUGCAGAAGAAGCACCGGCUAACUACGUG